Molecule: long non-coding RNA, 236 nt
Organism: Etheostoma spectabile (orangethroat darter)
Lineage: Eukaryota; Metazoa; Chordata; Actinopteri; Perciformes; Percidae
Exons: 3
Source: RefSeq, a predicted model, not a curated record
AGCAACCUUGAGGGCAGAAGAGAAAAAAGAAGUAUGUAUAAACGGCUCUAGCCCUUUGGUUGCCCUAGGCGAGAUUGACUUUUGCGCCCCCUGGGGGUCUGUACCGCUGCUAGUAUCUAUUUUUACAGCGAGAGUAGACACUAAGCGAUGCAUAGAUCUGCUUCAGAGCUCCGUGUGUUUGAGUCUAACCCGUAGACUGGAAACGUCGCGUCACAGGAAAGGUUGACAAGAAAACA